CUUCUAGACAAAGGGUAAACCGCACAUAGCAUCACCGGAUUUCUCAAGCGGUAUUCAUCUUCACCGCAUACCAUUUGAGCGGUGUUCAUAUAAACCGCACGCCACUUGAGAAGGGAGGAGAUUACACCGCUCACCUAUUGAUCGGAUUGUUCUCCGGUUUGCUUCAAGACCCAAUUGAUUUCUCGGCUAAGGGUAAACAACAAAGUUUCAUCGGUUUUCUGAGCGGAUUCUGAGUUUUCCUUGAGCGAUUUAAGAUAAACCGCACAACUCAUCAGAUUUGAAGCAAAAGCAGUUUGGAGAACAACUCCACAGAAACAGUGUGCAUCAGGAUUGUUUGUUUUUUACAGCCGGUAUUAGUCUUUAUAACAGCAGCUCAAACAGCAGCUCAAACAGCAGCUCAGGAGGAUUCAUUUGUGGUCUGAAAUAACAGCUGCUACACAGCAACUAAACAGCAGCAACAAUAGCAUGUUGGUUUGGAAGCUGUUUGUGUUGAGAUGAAACAAGAAACAGCAGGUAGCAACUACCAUAUGACAGCAAGACUAUACAGCAGGUUCACAGAUUCUUAACUGCAUUGCAAGGUCUUCGAACAGCAACUUCACUUUGUUUGACUGUUUGGAAUGUAGUAAGCAACAUCUGUGAUAUUGACACAGAUAAGUCUAACACAGCUUGCUUGACAGAUUUGAACAUAUCAAGCUGUGAUCUUGUUGUUAUAAAUGGUCAAAAGAAGUUCUGUUCAUCAUUGUUGAAAAUGUGUUGAAGCUGAAUUUUUUUUAAGCUUUGUUGAUCUUGACAGCAGGUUAAGUUCUGUUGACAGCAGGUUGCGUUUGCAACAAGCAGGUUUUGUAAACUGUUUUGACAGGACUUGACAACAAGGUUCAGAAGCUACACAGAGACAGCGACAGCAAACACAAAGCAGCAGCAGGUUUAAUUUUUGUACAGUAAUAGGUUUAAACAUUGUGAUAGUGGUUUGCUGUUUCUGCUGUGUUGUGUUGGUGUUUAAAACAACAGUUGGUAAGCUCCACAGUCUGUUUUGUGACAGCAACUACACAACAGCAGGUUUGUUUCUUGACUAAUUCAUGUUUCAAAACAGUAGCAAUAACAGUUUUUGAUCUUGAUUGUUUUUUACAGCAAUAAUAGUAAUACACAGCUUUGAACAGAAAUUAUCUUGACUGAGUUUAGUGUGUAGUCUUCAACUGUUUUAAACAGAUUUGAAGCAGUAUUAAAGCAGACUGUGUUUUAAACAGAUUUAAACAGGUUGUGUAUUAUUAACAGUGUGCAGGACUGAAACAAUAGCUCACAGGUUUAAGUUGAAUUUUAGUUGUUUGUUGAGACUACACAGUUUAUUGUACCAAUUGAGACAUAAGAUGUGCUUGACUGUUUUGGUUCUGUUAUUUUGACAGCAGCAGGAUCUCACAGUUUUGAUUGCUGAUUUAAGUUUGAGCAGUUAUUUGACACAAGUUGUUAUCACAGAAGUGACUGAUACGAGGGYGUGAGAAGUGGAUCCAUACUAGAAGCUUUCAAGUGGAUUUCUGGAUAGUCUUACGAGGGCAUAUAGUAUAUUGUUUUUGUUCCAUAUCUGUAUUGUAUUUGGGCUUGGAUCGGUGUGAUUUGGACUUAGACUCAUAAUUUUGGACUUGGAUUUCU
Long non-coding RNA from Cynara cardunculus var. scolymus (artichoke), 1644 nucleotides. RefSeq lists it as uncharacterized. NCBI's taxonomy places the organism in Eukaryota, Viridiplantae, Streptophyta, Magnoliopsida, Asterales, Asteraceae. The record is from RefSeq and is a predicted model, not a curated record. The transcript is spliced from 2 exons.